This 2187-nucleotide long non-coding RNA is filed under the name Anas platyrhynchos platyrhynchos (common mallard). RNAcentral's name for it is "lncRNA (ENSAPLG00000022540.1)". The record is from RNAcentral. Lineage: Eukaryota; Metazoa; Chordata; Aves; Anseriformes; Anatidae.
AUGUUACGUGUGUGUUACAGAUGCGAGCACCUCCUAACAAGCCCCCUGGUGGAAGGGGCAGCAGCACGUUGCUCGGGAGCUGUCAGAGACACCAGCAGCUUGCCGCAACUGCUGGAUAUGUUAUGUGUGGUCCAACUGGCAGCCUGCAGGCCAGCUCCAGGCUGCUGUGCUGAUCCAUCCGGCCCACCAGCUUCUUCUCUGGAAGAGAUGGAGAACAGCUGUUUGGAGCAACGACUGCACCCUCCAGCCGCCAAGCUUGUCCUCCAACACAAAGGCAAAACCCUGCUGCUGUUGACAGGAGUCACAGUACGGCAUCCUUGGAGGGCUGGGGGAAGCACGAGUUCACAGUGGUGCAGCAGUGGACAAGCUGGUUCAGAAAUCCUCUGGCAGCAGUUUGAAACCGGUGAGCAAAAUGACAACCUGCACUUGGGUUACACUACGUGGGUGAGAAGGUAAAUGUCAUUUAUGAUUCACUGCUCAGCAAAAUCCCUGGUGGAGUUGAAAGAUCCCUCUGAAAAUACCUUCUAGGAAAAAAGAAAAGAAGGAUGGCAAAUGAAAGAUUUGUCUUCAAGCAGGAGAGACAAGAUGUAGGUGCGAUAGUGAUCAGUUUGAAUUCCUCAGCACGCCCACGAGUACUUACUCGUAAUUUUUGUGCAACAGAGUGUGAUGAAGAUGAGAAGUUGAGUUGAUGAAUGCUUGAUAGAACAAAGUGUUUAAGAUCGCAUGUAGGACAGACUGGUGGGUGUCAAAUGAGCGUAGAUACGUGGUGGAGUUACAAAUGUGUCAAAAACAACAGCGGGUCUUAAACUGGAAAGGCCGAAGAAAGUGGAAGGUAGAAACGAAGCAAGUCUCUGGUCCUUGGCCAAACUAAAAAGAGAUACUUGGAAAAGAACACCUGAAGUUUGGGAAAUCGAAUGAGACUUUCCUAUAAGGGCAAAAAGAAUAUAAGAGAAAUCAUAAAAAUGAUGUGCACUGAGAUUCUGUUGGCAAACCUUUCCCCAGCAUUGUGUUCUCUAUCUAGACACCGAUAAUUUAUCACAGGCUGCUCAGAACUGGCCUCCCACUCCAGGUCAUUCAGAGGCAUCAAAAAGAAAACACGAAAGAACACUAUGCAGGAAAAAUACGCAUUUAUGUUACUGCUUUACCUUAAGCAGUAACAAAUUAUUGAUGGUAAAAUGCCUCCAUAUCUUACGGCUCCAUUAAGGAGCUUUGGAACAAAGCCUUCUUUAAGACCAUUGCAGAAAAAGAACUGAUGGCUGCUCCCUCUGUAAGUACAGGGAUGCAAAGGCAAACAGGAGUAACAGUACACAGAACUGGAAUAGGGAGAGGCUUAAGAGAAAAGCAUGUAAGUUUAUAUGUCAUAACGCUGAGGAGAUUUUUGAAGUCUAAGUGGAGGAAAAUAUUGAUGAGCCCAUCUAACAGCACCGUAGUAAACCCUGCAAAAUCCAGUGCUGUUUGAAAUUAGUCAGUGUACAAGAUACAAUAGCAUAUGGAACAGAUGCUGGAGUUCCGCUACAAGAGGAAUACUAAUUCUGGAGAUGUGCCUGAUCCAGAUGUCCUUUCAUAAAGCACAGAGCUGCACCGACUGCCUUAGAAGUCAUAGUAAAUCCCUAAAUAUAAUAACACGCAGCAACAACACAAAAUAUGCUAGUGGCAAAUUUGCGAGGCACGGUGGUUCUUCUACUCCACCUUCAUGUGCACGUAGUGCUGUUGAUCACUCCUUUUCUUUUGCCAUGAGGGGAGAUUGGGGUUUUAGCACUGCUGAUAUUUUCUAAUUCAUGAAAGCAGUCAUACUUCACUCACUGUGAGUUGUAUGAGCCAGGUGAGGAGAGUGUUCCUCGAGUCUGCACAAAAGGGAGCUGUUGACUAAUUCUACCUGCUAGUCCUGGGGGGACAAAACCCACUAUUUUGGGAUCUGUGGUGGUUUGGAGUAUGGAGGUCCAUGGUUUUACUUUUGUGAAGAGCACCCUUGGCAGCACUAGGAAAAGGUGUUAUGGCAGAAACUGAGUCAGCUUAUUUAGUGACAGGUAAGUUCACUGCGAAGGGCUGGGAGUCCUUACAGCUGUUUGGCAUGAAAAUCCAACGAAGGCUUUUUUUUUUUUUUUUUUUUUUUUACUUCAUACAGAAAGAAUUGUUUGAGUUAAAAAUAAUAAUAAAAAAAAUUAAGGAAAAAAAAAGAGAUUUAUU